AAACGAACUUGGAGAUAGCUGGUUCUCUCCGAAAUAGCUUUAGGGCUAGCCUCGCAAAGAGGAUGCUGGAGGUAGAGCUCUGUUUGGACUAGGGGCCCGUCAAGGGUUACUGAAUUCAGAUAAACUGCGAAUUCCAGACAUUUAUGUGCGGGAGUCAGACUGCGAGUGAUAAGAUCCGUAGUCGAAAGGGAAACAGCCCAGAUCACCAGUUAAGGUCCCAAAAUUCAUGCUAAGUGGAAAAGGAUGUGGAGUUGCGCAGACAACUAGGACGUUGGCUCAGAAGCAGCCAUCAUUCAAAGAGUGCGUAAUAGCUCACUAGUCGAGUGACGCCGCGCCGAAAAUUUACCGGGGCUAAGCAUGAUACCGAAACUGUGGAUGUGCGUUUAUGCACGUGGUAGGAGAGCGUUCUAGCGGCGGUGAAGCAUGACCGAGAGGACAUGUGGAGCUUCUAGAAGUGAGAAUGCCGGUAUGAGUAACGAAAGACAGGUGAGAAUCCUGUCCGCCGCAAGACUAAGGUUUCCUGGGGCAGGCUCGUCCGCCCAGGGUAAGUCGGGACCUAAGGCGAGGCCGAGAGGCGUAGUCGAUGGACAACAGGUUGAAAUUCCUGUACUGCACCGAAUCGUUAUGAGCGAUGGAGGGACGCAGGAGGCUAGCAGCGCGUGGUGCUGGAUACCACGUUCAAGCGUCAAGUCUGAGAGUGAGUCAAAUGCUUGCUCUCAUAAGGACAAGGCGUGAUGAGGAGCGAAAUUAAAGUAGCGAAGGCUGCGACGUCACACUGCCGAGAAAAGCUUCUAGCCAGAGACGGUGCACCCGUACCGCAAACCGACACAGGUAGUCGAGGAGAGUAUCCUCAGGUGAGCGAGAGAACUCUCGUUAAGGAACUCGGCAAAAUGGCCCCGUAACUUCGGGAGAAGGGGCGCUGGUCGCAAGAUCAGCCGCAGUGAAAAGGCCCAAGCAACUGUUUAUCAAAAACACAGGCAUCUGCAAAAUCGUAAGAUGAAGUAUAGGUGCUGACACCUGCCCGGUGCUGGAAGGUUAAGAGGAGAGCUUAGCGCAAGCGAAGGUUUGAAUUGAAGCCCCAGUAAACGGCGGCCGUAACUAUAACGGUCCUAAGGUAGCGAAAUUCCUUGUCGGGUAAGUUCCGACCUGCACGAAAGGUGUAAUGAUUUGGGCACUGUCUCAACGAGAGACUCGGUGAAAUUAUAAUACCCGUGAAGAUGCGGGUUACCCGCGACAGGACGGAAAGACCCCAUGGAGCUUUACUGCAGUUUAAUAUUGGGUAUCUGUCAAGCAUGUACAGGAUAGGUAGGAGCCGGAGAAGAUAGGACGCCAGUCUUAUCAGAGGCGCUGUUGGGAUACUACCCUUGCUUGACGGAUGCUCUAACUCAGGCCUGUGAUCCAGGCCGAGGACAGUGUUUGACGGGCAGUUUGACUGGGGCGGUCGCCUCCUAAAGUGUAACGGAGGCGCCCAAAGGUUCCCUCAGAAUGGUUGGAAAUCAUUCGCAGAGUGUAAAGG
This 1516-nucleotide ribosomal RNA is filed under the name Lactobacillus delbrueckii subsp. bulgaricus. RNAcentral's name for it is "partial 23S ribosomal RNA". It matches the Rfam family "Bacterial large subunit ribosomal RNA", at positions 831 to 2357 of the family's 2925-position model. Lineage: Bacteria; Bacillati; Bacillota; Bacilli; Lactobacillales; Lactobacillaceae. The record is from RNAcentral.